UACGAAGGGGGCUAGCGUUGUUCGGAAUCACUGGGCGUAAAGCGCACGUAGGCGGAUUUGCCAGUCAGGGGUGAAAUCCCGGGGCUCAACCUCGGAACUGCCUUUGAUACAGCAAGUCUUGAGUUCGAGAGAGGUGAGUGGAAUUCCUAGUGUAGAGGUGAAAUUCGUAGAUAUUAGGAAGAACACCGGUGGCGAAGGCGGCCCACUGGCUCGACACUGACGCUGAGGUGCGAAAGCGUGGGGAGCAAACAGG
Molecule: ribosomal RNA, 253 nt
Filed under: uncultured bacterium
Lineage: Bacteria
Description: partial 16S ribosomal RNA
Rfam family: Bacterial small subunit ribosomal RNA
Source: RNAcentral